Molecule: ribosomal RNA, 2521 nt
Filed under: human oral metagenome
Description: bacterial LSU rRNA
Rfam family: Bacterial large subunit ribosomal RNA
Source: RNAcentral
UCAAGUGAAUAAGUGCACACGGUGGAUGCCUUGGCGACAACAGGCGAAGAAGGACGUGGAAAUCUGCGAAAAGCCCCGGGAAGCUGAUAACAAGCAAUGAUCCGGGGAUCUCCGAAUGGGGCAACCCGACCUUAGGGUCAUCCGUAGUUGAAUACAUAGACUGCGGAAGCGAACCGGGAGAACUGAAACAUCUAAGUACCCCGAGGAAAAGAAAUCAACCGAGAUUCCGCAAGUAGCGGCGAGCGAACGCGGAGAAGCCCAAUUAAGUUGCGUAUGAGUUAGUAGAACAUCCUGGGAAGGGUGGCCAUAGAGGGUGAUAGCCCCGUAUACGAAAGCCAUACACAAUGAAUCGAGUAGGGCGGGACACGUGAAAUCCUGUCUGAACAUGGGGGGACCAUCCUCCAAGGCUAAAUACUCGUUGUCGACCGAUAGUGAACCAGUACCGUGAGGGAAAGGCGAAAAGAACCCUGGUGAAGGGAGUGAAAUAGAACCUGAAACCGUGUGCAUACAAGCAGUCAGAGCAUAUAAAGAUAUGUGAUGGCGUACCUUUUGUAUAAUGGGUCAGCGAGUUACAUUCAGUGGCGAGGUUAACCGGAUAGGGGAGCCGUAGCGAAAGCGAGUCUUAAGAGGGCGACAAGUCUCUGGGUGUAGACCCGAAACCGGGCGAUCUACAGGAGACACACGGCGGGUGCUAACGUCCGUCGUGAAGAGGGAAACAACCCAGACCGCCAGCUAAGGUCCCGAAAUGACAGUUCAGUGGGAAACGAAGUGGGAAGGCUUAGACAGCUAGGAGGUUGGCUUAGAAGCAGCCAUCCUUUAAAGAAAGCGUAAUAGCUCACUAGUCGAGUCGUCCUGCGCGGAAGAUUUACCGGGGCUAAACUGUCUACCGAAGCUGCGGAUUUGCAUGAAGAUGCAAGUGGUAGGGGAGCGUUGUGUAAGCCGAAGAAGGUGUGUUGAGAAGCAUGCUGGAGGUAUCACAAGUGCGAAUGCUGACAUGAGUAACGAUAAUGCGGGUGAAAAACCUGCACACCGAAAACCCAAGGUUUCCUGCGCAACGCUAAUCGGCGCAGGGUGAGUCGGCCCCUAAGGCGAGGCGGAAACGCGUAGUCGAUGGGAAACAGGUUAAUAUUCCUGUACUGAUCAUAAUUGCGAUGGGGGGACGGAGAAAGCUAGGCCAGCACACUGUUGGAUGUGUGUUUAAGCGCGUAGGUUGGGGAUUUAGGCAAAUCCGGGUUCCUAAGACUGAAACGUGAUGACGAGUUUCUACGGAAACGAAGUGGUUGAUGCUCUGCUUCCAGGAAAAGCCUCUAAGCUUCAGAUUAUGACAACCGUACCCCAAACCGACACAGGUGGGUAGGAAGAGAAUUCCAAGGUGCUUGAGAGAACUCGGGUAAAGGAACUCGGCAAAAUGAUACCGUAACUUCGGGAUAAGGUAUGCCUCUGAUGGUGAAUAGCUGUUGGAGGCCGCAGAGAAUAGGCCGCUGCGACUGUUUAUCAAAAACACAGCACUCUGCAAACACGCAAGUGGACGUAUAGGGUGUGACGCCUGCCCGGUGCCGGAAGGUUAAUUGAUGGGGUGCAAGCUCUUGAUCGAAGCCCCGGUAAACGGCGGCCGUAACUAUAACGGUCCUAAGGUAGCGAAAUUCCUUGUCGGGUAAGUUCCGACCUAGACGGAAAGACCCCGUGAACCUUCACUACAGCUUGACACUGAACAUUGAAAUAAGUUGCAUAGGAUAGGUGGGAGGCUUUGAAGCAGAGACUCUGGUUUCUGUGGAGCCGACCUUGAAAUACCACCCUGCUUAUUUUGAUGUUCUAACGUAGACCCGUAAUCCGGGUUGCAGACAGUGUCUGGUGGGUAGUUUGACUGGGGCGGUCUCCUCCCAAAGAGUAACGGAGGAGUGCGAAGGUGGGCUCGGUGCGGUCGGAAAUCGCACCAAGAGUGCAAAGGCAGAAGCCCGCUUAACUGCGAGACAGACAAGUCGAGCAGAUACGAAAGUAGGUCUUAGUGAUCCGGUGGUUCUGAAUGGAAGGGCCAUCGCUCAACGGAUAAAAGGUACUCCGGGGAUAACAGGCUGAUUCCUCCCAAGAGUCCAUAUCGACGGAGGAGUUUGGCACCUCGAUGUCGGCUCAUCACAUCCUGGGGCUGUAGCAGGUCCCAAGGGUAUGGCUGUUCGCCAUUUAAAGUGGUACGCGAGCUGGGUUCAGAACGUCGUGAGACAGUUCGGUCCCUAUCUGCCGUGGGCGUUGGAGAUUUGAGGGAAGCUGUUCUUAGUACGAGAGGACCGGAAUGGACGAACCUCUGGUGUACCGGUUGUCACGCCAGUGGCACAGCCGGGUAGCUAUGUUCGGAAGGGAUAACCGCUGAAAGCAUCUAAGCGGGAAGCCCCUCCCAAGAUAAGAUCUCCCUAGACCUUAAAGGUCUCUAAAGAUCCGUUGAAGACUACGACGUUGAUAGGCUCCAUGUGGAAGUGUAGUAAUACAUGCAGCUAAGGAGUACUAAUUGAUCGUGAGGCUUGAUCAU